Molecule: ribosomal RNA, 482 nt
Filed under: uncultured bacterium
Lineage: Bacteria
Description: partial 16S ribosomal RNA
Rfam family: Bacterial small subunit ribosomal RNA
Source: RNAcentral
AUUGAACGCUGGCGGCAUGCUUUACACAUGCAAGUCGAACGGUAACAGGCCGCAAGGUGCUGACGAGUGGCGAACGGGUGAGUAAUGCAUCGGAACGUGCCCAGUCGUGGGGGAUAACUACUCGAAAGAGUAGCUAAUACCGCAUACGAUCUAUGGAUGAAAGCGGGGGACCGUAAGGCCUCGCGCGAUUGGAGCGGCCGAUGUCAGAUUAGGUAGUUGGUGGGGUAAAGGCUCACCAAGCCAACGAUCUGUAGCUGGUCUGAGAGGACAACCAGCCACACUGGGACUGAGACACGGCCCAGACUCCUACGGGAGGCAGCAGCGGGGAAUUUUGGACAAUGGGCGCAAGCCUGAUCCAGCAAUGCCGCGUGCAGGAAGAAGGCCUUCGGGUUGUAAACUGCUUUUGUACGGAACGAAACGGCUCUGGUUAAUACCCGGGGCUAAUGACGGUACCGUAAGAAUAAGCACCGGCUAACUACGUG